RNAcentral lists this ribosomal RNA (482 nucleotides) under uncultured bacterium. RNAcentral's name for it is "partial 16S ribosomal RNA". It matches the Rfam family "Bacterial small subunit ribosomal RNA", at positions 28 to 523 of the family's 1533-position model. The record is from RNAcentral.
GACGAACGCUGGAGGCGUGCUUAACACAUGCAAGUCGAACGAUGAAAUGGAGCUUGCUCCAUGGAUUAGUGGCGAACGGGUGAGUAACACGUGAAUAACCUGCCCUUAAUUUUGGAAUAACCCAGGGAAACCUGGGCUAAUACCGGAUAAGUAAACCUGUGGCAUCACAUGGUUUUGGAAAGUUUUUCGAUUAAGGAUGGAUUCGCGGCCUAUCAGCUUGUUGGCGAGGUAAUGGCUCACCAAGGCGACGACGGGUAGCCGGCCUGAGAGGGUGGACGGCCACACUGGGACUGAGACACGGCCCAGACUCCUACGGGAGGCAGCAGUGGGGAAUAUUGCGCAAUGGACGAAAGUCUGACGCAGCGACGCCUCGUGAGGGACGAAGGUCUUCGGAUUGUAAACCUCUUUCAGCAGGGACGAAGCGAAAGUGACGGUACCUGCAGAAGAAGCACCGGCUAACUAUGUGCCAGCCGCCGCGGUAA